UACGUAGGGUGCAAGCGUUGUCCGGAAUUAUUGGGCGUAAAGAGCUCGUAGGCGGUCUGUCGCGUCGGCUGUGAAAACCCGGAGCUCAACUCCGGGCCUGCAGUCGAUACGGGCAAACUGGAGUGUUGCAGGGGAGACUGGAAUUCCCGGUGUAGCGGUGAAAUGCGCAGAUAUCGGGAAGAACACCCGUGGCGAAGGCGGUUCUCUGGGACGGUACUGACGCUGAGACGCGAAAGCGUGGGGAGCGAACAGG
This 253-nucleotide ribosomal RNA is filed under the name uncultured bacterium. RNAcentral's name for it is "partial 16S ribosomal RNA". It matches the Rfam family "Bacterial small subunit ribosomal RNA", at positions 524 to 776 of the family's 1533-position model. The record is from RNAcentral.